GACAGAGGUGCCGAGCGUUAGGCGGAAUCACUGGGCUUAAAGCGUGUGUAGGCGGAUCGUUAAGUACCUUGUGAAAUCCCACGGCUCAACCGUGGAACUGCUGGGUAUACUGGCGGUCUUGAGCCACCUAGGGGCGAGCGGAACAAACGGUGGAGCGGUGAAAUGCGUAGAUAUCGUUUGGAACGCCAACGGUGAAAACAGCUCGCUGGGGGUGUGCUGACGCUGAGACACGAAAGCCAGGGGAGCGAAUGGG
This 253-nucleotide ribosomal RNA is filed under the name uncultured bacterium. Its description in RNAcentral is "partial 16S ribosomal RNA". It matches the Rfam family "Bacterial small subunit ribosomal RNA", at positions 524 to 776 of the family's 1533-position model. The record is from RNAcentral.